CGGAAGAAGUCAGAUUGAUACCUUUCUACUCUCUGAAGGAAAGAGACACAGCACCCGUAUGAAUACACCACUCAGUGGGAACAUUCAUUUCCAAGCACAGGAGGACUUAAUUUUGGGACUCUCCUGCAAUCAAUUGCAAGUGUACUUUCUUCUCUUCUGUUCUCAGUCACUCAGCACCAGGUACACAGGAUCUAGCAGGUUUAUUGCAGUUGGAGGACCCACCCUCUGUGGAUACCAGCACUCCAUGGCUGAAAUCCUGGACUGUGCAAUAAGAUAAAAUCAAAAGAAAAUUUCUAGACCGAAGAGUCUUUAAGCUGAUGGCAAGCAACCAGCUGGAAUUACUGAAGAGAUGAGCACUACUGAAAAGAGACUGCCUACACUGAACUAGGACAGCAGGAAUGGUGUCCUCAGGAUAAAACAGAACCCAGUGGGGGCUCCAUCCUGCGAAGAUCCAAAGUCAUUUAUAAGAAGACAGCUUAAACUGAAGGGGGUUCCCUGUUCCUCAAAAUCAACUACCCAGGAAAAUGUUUUGCCAAAGUCAGCACACAGAAGCUGAUAGAACUGUGCUCUGGUGGGUGAGACGCAAGUACAUCUUGACCUGGCAGUGGAUCUUGGAAGUAUGGCUUACAUGGUACUGGUAUUAGAGGCAUGAAAGAUGGAAGGUUGAAGGGGUCCAGGAAUCUUGCUCUAUGGUUCGAGAGAGAUGAUAUGUCAGGCAGUAUGGGACAAUAUUGGAAUUCCUGCUAAGAGGUUCUGAGAAGUCAUUUCAUGAGGCUAUGGACAUGAAGCCUGUUAAAUGGAGACCAUGGGGGUGCCAGAACUGUGGCUUACCCAUCAAGGAAAGCUUCAGAAAUGGAAUAGAGCCAUCCCAAAGCCAAGAGAGAAUGUGUGUUGCAGACAGCCAAGCUGGAGAGAUGGAGAUACCUAAGGCUUUUGGUGUCCAUUUGAUUAUAUCAAAAAUCCUAGUUGACCAACACGAAGGUGAAAGGAUUUUGUGUUCACCACAAUGGAUAUUGGUUUUGGGCUGGUCCAAUUAUUCUUUGCUAUACCCCAAUUGUUAUAUAUUGGAAUGGGACUGUUUAUUCUGUAUCAUCGUAUGCUGGACUAUGCAACUUUGUUUGUUUGUUUGUUUUAAUUUAUAAACACUCACAGUUAAGAGAUUGUCUGGAGUCUCAGGUACGUUGCAGACUUUGGAUUUUGAAACUGGAUUGUGUUUUUCAUUGUGAGAUGGCAGGAGCCUUUGGGGAGGAGAGGUAGAAAGUUGUGCUUUAACAGGCUGCAUUUUGGUAUUAGGUUGAUGACGGGUGAAGUGAUUGUGUGAGAAUCUGGAAUCAUCCGAGAGAUGAGCAUACAGUCAUGCCUGUAAGAGAGGGUUUUGAUGAAGUCAAUAUGGUUUGGGAGAUGGCACCAUUGUGAAUGGCAUCUCUUGGGAUGGAAUCCUGAACCAUAUUAAAAGGAGAACACAUUCAUCCCUCUCUUCCUCUUGUCUGCAGAGGCAAUGCUGGACAUAAGCAUGUAUCCCUC
Mus musculus (house mouse) is the source of this 1524-nucleotide long non-coding RNA. RefSeq annotates it as predicted gene 14661. The record is from RefSeq and is a predicted model, not a curated record. The transcript is spliced from 4 exons. Lineage: Eukaryota; Metazoa; Chordata; Mammalia; Rodentia; Muridae.